GGAACACGUUCUUGAGUGAGACAAGCUAUAAUAACAGAUAAACAAAAUACAAUAACAUUGAACAUCAUAUUCAUAAAAACUUCAAAUUUCAGCAACAACACAGUUAGGUAUUCUCCAGAGCAGCAAAAUAAAUAAGCAUUAAUUACAAAAAAUACCCCCUAAGGUCUGCCUUAACCUAAAAUAAACCAUUUUUCUUCCCCCCAAACACACCAUGCCCACUGCCUAUCAUCAUCACUUUCUUUAAGCCAUUGCUGCAAGAUGGUCGAAAUGAUUGGGCAACUCUUUUGGUGGCCUUUAUGUGUGGAAAAUUGGCUGGAGAAGCAUGGAUUGGCAAUGAAAGAACUCAUUUCCUGAAAUUUUUUAUUUAAUGUAUUUUCUGGUUAUUG
RNAcentral lists this unclassified non-coding RNA (386 nucleotides) under Hevea brasiliensis (rubber tree). The record is from RNAcentral. Lineage: Eukaryota; Viridiplantae; Streptophyta; Magnoliopsida; Malpighiales; Euphorbiaceae.